This 84-nucleotide transfer RNA is filed under the name Echinostoma caproni. It matches the Rfam family "tRNA". Rfam says of the family: Transfer RNA (tRNA) molecules are approximately 80 nucleotides in length. The record is from Rfam by way of RNAcentral. Lineage: Eukaryota; Metazoa; Platyhelminthes; Trematoda; Plagiorchiida; Echinostomatidae.
GGCCUAGUAGCUCAGCUGGUGGAGCGUGCGCUCUACAAAAGCGUAGACUGCGUCCAUGCGUGGGCUCGAGUCCCACCGAGGCUA